Molecule: ribosomal RNA, 460 nt
Filed under: uncultured bacterium
Lineage: Bacteria
Description: partial 16S ribosomal RNA
Rfam family: Bacterial small subunit ribosomal RNA
Source: RNAcentral
CCUACGGGUGGCAGCAGUGAGGAAUAUUGGUCAAUGGGCGCGAGCCUGAACCAGCCAAGUCGCGUGAAUGAUGACUGCCCUACGGGUUGUAAACUCUUUUUAUAAAGGAAUAAAUUGAGGCACGUGAGCCAUUUUCUACGUACUUUAUGAAUAAGGAUCGGCUAACUACGUGCCAGCAGCCGCGGUAAUACGGAGGAUCCGAGAGUUAUCCGGAUUUAUUGGGUUUAAAGGGAGCGUAGAUGGGUUGUUAAGUUAGUUGUGAAAGUUUGCGGCUCAACCCUAAAAUUGCAAUUGAUACUGGCAGCCUUGAGUACAGUUGAGGUAGGCGGAAUUCGUGGUGUAGCGGUGAAAUGCUUAGAUAUCACGAGGAACUCCGGUUGCGAAGGCAGCCUACUAGACUGCAACUGACAUUGAUGCUCGAAAGUGUGGGUAUCAAACAGGAUUAGAUACCCGAGUAGUC